CCUUCUCAAACAAUUCUGUUUGGUAGUGAGUGAUACUCUAACUAGGGUUAACUUGAAAUUGAUAGCCUGUUUUGGUUGUGAUUUUGCUGGCUUGGAUGAUUUUGUCCAGUCUAGCUGAUACCGAAUUGUCGUAUUAGGUUUUACCAACUUCGACAGAUAGUGUGUUAGUUUGGGCGUUAUAAAGACAAGGUCGUAAACGAUUUAUCGUUUGUUUAAGUUUUUGCAUGCGCAAUCCGGCGAACAAUACUCUCAAA
RNAcentral lists this unclassified non-coding RNA (254 nucleotides) under uncultured Zygosaccharomyces. RNAcentral describes it as "sequence contains ITS2". Lineage: Eukaryota; Fungi; Ascomycota; Saccharomycetes; Saccharomycetales; Saccharomycetaceae. The record is from RNAcentral.